GAGUUUGAUCAUGGCUCAGGAUGAACGCUGGCGGUAUGCUUUACACAUGCAAGUCGUACGAGAAUUUUUAAUUCAAGUGGCGGACGGGUGAGUAACACGUAAGAAUUUACCUUUAGGAGGGGGAUAACAACUGGAAACGGUUGCUAAUACCCCAUAUGCUUUCGAGUGAAAUGGAUUUUUCCGCCUAAAGAGAAGCUUGCGGCUGAUUAGCUUGUUGGUGAGGUAAUGGCUCAUCAAGGCGACGAUCAGUAUCUGGUUUGAGAGGACGAUCAGACACACUGGAACUGAGACACGGUCCAGACUCCUACGGGAGGCAGCAGUGGGGAAUUUUCCGCAAUGGGCGAAAGCCUGACGGAGCAAUACCGCGUGAGGGAUGACGGCCUAUGGGUUGUAAACCUCUUUUUUCAGGGAGGAAUCAAUGACGUGUACCUGAAGAAUAAGCAUCGGCUAACUCCGUGCCAGCAGCCGCGGUAAGACGGAGGAUGCAAGUGUUAUCCGGAAUCACUGGGCGUAAAGCGUCUGUAGGUGGUUUAAUAAGUCAACUGUUAAAUCUUGAGGCCCAACCUCAAAAUCGCAGUCGAAACUAUUAGACUAGAGUAUAGUAGGGGUAAAGGGAAUUUCCAGUGGAGCGGUGAAAUGCGUAGAGAUUGGAAAGAACACCGAUGGCGAAGGCACUUUACUGGGCUACUACUAACACUCAGAGACGAAAGCUAGGGUAGCAAAUGGGGAUUAGAUACCCCAGUAGUCCUAGCUGUAAACAAUGGAUACUAGAUGUUGAACAGAUCGACCUGUGCAGUAUUAAAGCUAACGCGUUAAGUAUCCCGCCUGGGAAGUAUGCUCGCAAGA
RNAcentral lists this ribosomal RNA (846 nucleotides) under uncultured bacterium. Its description in RNAcentral is "bacterial SSU rRNA". It matches the Rfam family "Bacterial small subunit ribosomal RNA", at positions 9 to 893 of the family's 1533-position model. The record is from RNAcentral.